GACGAACGCUGGCGGCGCGCCUAACACAUGCAAGUCGAACGAGCGAGAGAGAGCUUGCUUUCUCGAGCGAGUGGCGAACGGGUGAGUAACGCGUGAGGAACCUGCCUCAAAGAGGGGGACAACAGUUGGAAACGACUGCUAAUACCGCAUAAGCCCACGGGUCGGCAUCGACCAGAGGGAAAAGGAGCGAUCCGCUUUGAGAUGGCCUCGCGUCCGAUUAGCUAGUUGGUGAGGUAAUGGACCACCAAGGCGACGAUCGGUAGCCGGACGGAGAGGGUGAACGGCCACAUUGAGACAGAGACACGGCCCAGACGCCUACGAGAGGCAGCAGUGGGGAAUAUAGCACAGGGAGGAAACCCUGAUGCAGCGACGCCGCGUGGAGGAAGAAGGUCUUCGGAUUGUAAACUCCUGUUGUUGGGGAAGAUAAUGACGGUACCCAACAAGGAAGUGACGGCUAACUACGUG
This 465-nucleotide ribosomal RNA is filed under the name uncultured bacterium. RNAcentral's name for it is "partial 16S ribosomal RNA". It matches the Rfam family "Bacterial small subunit ribosomal RNA", at positions 28 to 507 of the family's 1533-position model. The record is from RNAcentral.